This 295-nucleotide ribosomal RNA is filed under the name uncultured bacterium. RNAcentral's name for it is "partial 16S ribosomal RNA". It matches the Rfam family "Bacterial small subunit ribosomal RNA", at positions 775 to 1067 of the family's 1533-position model. The record is from RNAcentral.
GGAUUAGAUACCCUGGUAGUCCACGCCCUAAACGAUGAGAAUUAGAUGUUGGAGGAAAUUUAAUCCUUUAGUAUCAUAGCUAACGCACUAAAUUCUCCGCCUGGGAAGUACGAUCGCAAGGUUAAAACUCAAAUGAAUUGACGGGGGCCCGCACAAGCGGUGGAGCAUGUGGUUUAAUUCGAUGCAACGCGAAGAACCUUACCUGGCCUUGACAUCCUCGGAAUUUCACAGAAAUGAGAAAGUGCCUUUGGGAGCCGAGAGACAGGUGCUGCAUGGCUGUCGUCAGCUCGUGCCG